RNAcentral lists this unclassified non-coding RNA (348 nucleotides) under soil metagenome. RNAcentral's name for it is "partial contains 5.8S ribosomal RNA, internal transcribed spacer 2, and large subunit ribosomal RNA". The stretch from base 1 to 120 matches the Rfam family "5.8S ribosomal RNA", at positions 35 to 154 of the family's 154-position model. The record is from RNAcentral.
GAUGAAGAACGCAGCGAAAUGUGAUACGUAAUGUGAAUUGCAGAAUUCAGUGAAUCAUCGAAUCUUUGAACGCACAUUGCGCCCGCCAGUAUUCUGGCGGGCAUGCCUGUCUGAGCGUCAUUUCAACCCUCAUGCCCCUAGGGCGUGGUGUUGGGGAUCGGCCAAAGCCCGCGAGGGACGGCCGGCCCCUAAAUCUAGUGGCGGACCCGUCGUGGCCUCCUCUGCGAAGUAGUGAUAUUCCGCAUCGGAGAGCGAUGAGCCCCUGCCGUUAAACCCCCAACUUUCCAAGGUUGACCUCAGAUCAGGUAGGAAUACCCGCUGAACUUAAGCAUAUCAAUAAGCGGAGGA